This 75-nucleotide transfer RNA is filed under the name Sphaerodactylus townsendi. RNAcentral's name for it is "tRNA-Glu". It matches the Rfam family "tRNA". From Rfam's summary of the family: Transfer RNA (tRNA) molecules are approximately 80 nucleotides in length. Their secondary structure includes four short double-helical elements and three loops (D, anti-codon, and T loops). Further hydrogen bonds mediate the characteristic L-shaped molecular structure. tRNAs have two regions of fundamental functional importance: the anti-codon, which is responsible for specific mRNA codon recognition, and the 3' end, to which the tRNAs corresponding amino acid is attached (by aminoacyl-tRNA synthetases). tRNAs cope with the degeneracy of the genetic code in two manners: having more than one tRNA (with a specific anti-codon) for a particular amino acid; and 'wobble' base-pairing, i.e. permitting non-standard base-pairing at the 3rd anti-codon position. Lineage: Eukaryota; Metazoa; Chordata; Lepidosauria; Squamata; Sphaerodactylidae. The record is from RNAcentral.
GGAGGGCCUGUGGCUCAGCAGAAGAGCCUCUGCUUUUCACACUGAAGGCCCUGGGUUCAAUCCUCGGCAUCUCCA